This 76-nucleotide transfer RNA is filed under the name Noviherbaspirillum aridicola. RNAcentral describes it as "tRNA-Cys". The record is from RNAcentral. Lineage: Bacteria; Pseudomonadati; Pseudomonadota; Betaproteobacteria; Burkholderiales; Oxalobacteraceae.
GGAGGGGCUAGUGCUGUAAGCAGGCGCGUGGCUUGCAUAGCCGUGGACGCCGGUUCAAUUCCGACCCCCGCCUCCA